AUCUACUGCCAUACCACCCUGACCGUGCCCAAUCCUGUCUGAUCUCAGAAGCUAAGCAGGGUCGGGCCUGGUUAGUACUUGGAUGGGAGAAGACACCUAACUGGCCUAACAAAUUAGGUAUACAAGUUU
Otolemur garnettii (small-eared galago) is the source of this 129-nucleotide ribosomal RNA. Lineage: Eukaryota; Metazoa; Chordata; Mammalia; Primates; Galagidae. The record is from Ensembl.